This 253-nucleotide ribosomal RNA is filed under the name uncultured bacterium. RNAcentral's name for it is "partial 16S ribosomal RNA". It matches the Rfam family "Bacterial small subunit ribosomal RNA", at positions 524 to 776 of the family's 1533-position model. The record is from RNAcentral.
UACAGAGGGUGCGAGCGUUGUUCGGAAUUACUGGGCGUAAAGCGUGCGCAGGCGGUUCGUUGUGUCGGCGGUGAAAGCCCCGGGCUUAACCUGGGAAUGGCCGUUGAAACUGGCGAACUGGAGUGUGGCAGAGGGGGGUGGAAUUCCGCGUGUAGCAGUGAAAUGCGUAGAGAUGCGGAGGAACACCGAUGGCGAAGGCAGCCCCCUGGGCUAACACUGACGCUCAGGCACGAAAGCGUGGGGAGCAAACAGG